Panicum virgatum (switchgrass) is the source of this 2291-nucleotide long non-coding RNA. RefSeq lists it as uncharacterized. NCBI's taxonomy places the organism in Eukaryota, Viridiplantae, Streptophyta, Magnoliopsida, Poales, Poaceae. The record is from RefSeq and is a predicted model, not a curated record. The transcript has 2 exons.
CGUUUCCUUUUUUGCAACAAUCCUGCACGUUUGCUUCUCCACCGCCGAGGAGGGUGCCGUAGAUGCGGGACACGUUUGUUUUGCCGUUGCUGAGACGGGUGCCCUAGACGCGCAAUUGGCUGGUCGCUGCGACCACGUCACGGCCAAACGCACCGACAAGUCCGGAUGGCGGACGCCACGCUUGCAGUCGACCGCCGGACGCCCGACGCUGGACGAAUAUAUCAAGAGUCAUUUACGUGUAUACCAUUACAAAAGUUGCUGAUUACUUAUAUACCACUAAAAAGUUUGGAGACACUAAUAUACCAUCACAUGAAUUUUUUUUUACUUGUGUACCAUUCCGUCCAUCUACCGUUAGAAUUUAACGGAUUUGCAACCCUGACAGGUAGGACCCACCUAGGAAAUUAACCAUUGUGCCCUUGAUUCCAUUUGCCUCCCCCGUUCUCCACCGUGCACUCACCUCCCGUCGACACUACUGCCCCAUCGACUGACCACCGUCGCCCUCCCUCCCCCCCUCCGCCCCUCUUCUGCGCGCGCCAGGCCAGCCCGCGCCUCCAGCAGCCGCAUCCGAGCCCGGAUCUGCAGAGCUGCCCGAACCCCCUACAAGACCACCCUGCCUACUUCUGUUGUCAAGCAGUACUUCAUGAACCCGGACGACAUGGUGGCGAAGAAGACCGUGGUGCACAAGAGCAGCGCGCAGGGGACGCACUUCCGGCGUGCCGGCCCGCGGCGGCGCGUCAAUUUCCAGCCGGGCGAGGUGAUAGCAGCGGGCUCUGCCCGGGCCUCAACACGGUCAUCCGCGAGCUCGUCUGCGGCCUCCAUGACAUGUAUGGCAUCACCAGUGUGCUGGGCAUCGAGGGUGGGCAGGACACGAGCAAGAUCGUGGACAGCAUCCAGGACCGUCGCGUGCUGGGCAUCGAGGGUUCUGUUAGAGUCAUUCCGUCUAAAAUGACACACAGGUAAAAUAAAGUUCGCGUGAUGGUACACACGUGCCUCUAAACUUUUUAGUGGUAUACAUAUAACCAGCAACUUUCAUAAUAGUAUACACAUAAAAGACUCGUAUAUCAAUCAAUCUUGCUGUUUUUUUUUAGAGAAGUCAGUAAAGAGCAGAGUCAGUUCUCUUUAAUUGGGACAGCACAUGAAAUAUAAUGCAGAAUACAUGAGAUCAGGGUAGGCUAGAAACCAGUAUAAAUGAGAGUGCAGGACAUAGUUCAUGGAUUGUAGUUUUGUAUUAAACAUCAAGACAAUAUAGAUAUGAACAAUAAUAGCUUAGCUUUGUAAUUUAACCAAAUGCGAUUGCUUCUCCUAUCAUUAUCCCUAAAGUGCAGAAUGAUAUUUGUAAUUCGGUUUAGCAAUCACAAUCCUAGUUUUAAUAGCAGACACACAAAGAGCAUCUAGGACCAUACGGAUAGAAAAUCAUUUCAUUCAUCAGCUGCAAUGAGAUGGAAAAAAUGACAGUAACUAAAUUAGCUGCCAGGCGGACGGGUUAUGCUUCAGGACUAACCAAAGUGCUAGAACCCUUUAAAAAUAAUUGCAGUCACAAACCAAGUUGGUAACUCUGCCUGCAAACACCCUCAUUCUGCAUGUAAUGUUAUCGGGCAGUCCAAUGAAGUGGAGACCGGCCACUCAUUGUCACAGGUUCCUUCGUAUGUUCUUCCCUUAGACAUUUGUACGAACACAUUGUAUGAAGUGACCACGACACAACAAAGGGGAGUCCGUCCGGCCACUACGAGUCUACGAUGCAGCAUACCGCGUCGAUUGGAGAUGAUCUCUCGCAGUUUGGGCGGGGAUGGGAGAUGAGAUCGUGAUGUCUCUUACUACCAAUUGGGAAGAGGAGUUGCGGGCGGAAAUGUCCGCAAGGGCAACUUGCGUGGGCACCCCGCGGCGGCGGGAUGGCGCGCAGCUUGGAGCAGUGCGGGUCCGAGCGGGCGGCCGAGCCGAUGCGCGAGGCGGCGUCGACGCAGGGCCGAGCAGGCUAUGGAGUCAGGGAGCGAGGUGGCGGUGCGCGGAUGAGGUGAGAGUUUUUGGAUCGAUGUCGGACGUGAUGAGGGCCACGACCAACUCAGGAGAUGGCAGGCGGGGUACCAGGAGAUGGCAAGCGGGGUGAAAGUCAGAUGCCAUCUUUAAUUUAUUAGUUACGCAGAACUGAUGGUGAUAUUGUAUUUUUACCGCCUGCUUAAGACUGUGGUGAAGAAUCUCUAUAUUAAAUGUGACCGUCACUGAUUCACUAGACAAUUUCUGUUAUUUGACAUCCGCAUGGUCGUGUGAACAAGAGCAUUCAUUGCCGACCCCCA